GCUGUCGUCAGCUCGUGUCGUGAGAUGUUGGGUUAAGUCCCGUAACGAGCGCAACCCUUGUCCUUAGUUACCAGCACGUCAUGGUGGGCACUCUAAGGAGACUGCCGGUGACAAACCGGAGGAAGGUGGGGAUGACGUCAAGUCAUCAUGGCCCUUACGGCCUGGGCUACACACGUGCUACAAUGGUCGGUACAGAGGGUUGCCAAGCCGCGAGGUGGAGCUAAUCCCAUAAAACCGAUCGUAGUCCGGAUCGCAGUCUGCAACUCGACUGCGUGAAGUCGGAAUCGCUAGUAAUCGNG
Molecule: ribosomal RNA, 299 nt
Filed under: uncultured Pseudomonas sp.
Lineage: Bacteria; Pseudomonadati; Pseudomonadota; Gammaproteobacteria; Pseudomonadales; Pseudomonadaceae
Description: partial 16S ribosomal RNA
Rfam family: Bacterial small subunit ribosomal RNA
Source: RNAcentral